CCAGUGUCAUCCGAACAGGCAGCAUUCUGAUGGUUCUCUGUGAUGUCUAUGAUCCAGUGAUAAGACCUAGAAUAAAUGGAUAAAACCUAUAACAAAUAGAAUAAUGUUCCUCAAAUAAUGCCCCGUAACUUUAUUUCAGCUAUACUUGUUACAAGUUCUAGAGGGAAAAAUUCAAUAUUAUAUUCUGUAGGUAAAACUUCUUCACGUGCCUGUUUCAUUUCAACCCACUUGAUACAGUCUGGUGUCUGCCCCCCCCACUCUGAUGGAUCUGUUCUGGAAAAAUUUAGCGGUAACCUAAAUAUUUUCAAACCCAAUGAGUAUUUUUCAGUUCAUACUUUACCAAACUCUUUGUUGCAUUUGACAGUAUGACUGCCCCCUCCCUAAUAGGCACCUCUGAUAAUGUCUGUGGUAUCACUCACAUGAUUCUCUUUGUAGCUCUGUAAUCAUGUCUUUUUUUUUUUUUUUUAAUUGAGAUGAGGUCUCACUGUGUUGCCCAGGCUGGUCUCGAACUCCUGGAUUCAAGUGAUCCUCCCACCUUGGCCUCCCAAAGUGCUGUGAUUACAGGUGUGAGCUGCCACACCCAGCCUGUAAUCAUGUCUUCUUUAUAUCUUUUAUACAAUCUUCUGUUUUGUUUCAUGAACAUUGCUAUUCCAUUGUUAGCCCAUUAUUCUUUCUGAUUUUUUUUCAUACCGUUUGUGGUUUUAACUUGUGAGUCUUUAUGCUCUGAGAUAUUUCUGCCUCUGAGAACUUCAGCUUGAAAUUCUUGCUGAACAAAAGGAUGUCCAGAAGGCAUAUGGAGUCCUCAUAUCCAACAUGGAAAUAAUAUUUACAACUUGCUCAAUGUGCUGCUGCUGCUGCUUUUUUCCCUAUCCCUAUCAGUGCUGCUUCCAUCUGACCAGUGAGGCAAGCCAGAAAAUGAAGUCCAUCUUUUUUUUCUUUUUGAAAUGGGCUCUCGCUCUAUCACCCAGGCUGGAGUGCAGUGGCACGAUCUCGGCUCACUGCAAACUCUGCCUCCCGAGUUCACACCAUUCUCCUGCCUCAGCCUCCCAAGUAGCUGGGACUACAAGCACCCGCCACCACGCCUGGCUAAUUUUUUGUAUUUUUUAGUAGAGAUGGGGUUUCGCUGUGUUAGCCAGGAUGGUCUCAAUCUCCUGACCUCGUGAUCCUCCUGCCUCGGCCUCACAAAGGGCUGGGAUUACAGACGUGAGCCACCGCGCCCGGCCUGAAGUCCAUCUUAAUUCUCCUUUUCCUCACGUCUUGCUAUACCUGUUUGUCGAGCUUGCUAAUGUUGUCGCAUAAACAUUUCUUGAAUUUGUCCUUUCACUUCCAUCUCCUCUUCUCCUGCCUCAGUUUCUCGUGGGUUGUCAUAAUAUUAAUAGCUUUCUUAGCAGUCUGCUUGGCCCCUUCCUCUUCCCACCUUAAGGCUGUUCUUCACACUGACCAAUUCCUCCAAAAUGCCAACAUGAUCAUGUCUUAAUACAGAAAUGACUUAAGAGGUUCUAUGCCACUUACAGAAUACAAGUUCAGCAUCCUUGGUAUGACCUGUAAGGCUAUUUAUGUCAUGACUAUUUCCUGCCUGUUCUUAGUUCCUACCACUCUGGACCUUUCAUUCAACAACUGUAUAUUGAUCAAACAAUUGUGUGUCAUAUGCUAUGCUAGAUGGUCUACAUUCAGCUUGAAUGAAGGAGAUACUGUCUCUGUCCUCAUGGAGCUCACGUGCUAGUGAAAGAGAAAGAUAUUACACAAGCAGUUCAAACUGUGCUGAGGUGGUUCUCAACUCUGCCAGACCCACAUCUAUUUACAGAACAUACUUUCUUAUGAGCUAUAUUGGGAUGCAAACCUUCCAUAUUCAGCCAUCUCCUUUAUCUCUCUUAGUUAAUGCCACCCACCCACACUAGGCUGCCUCCUCUUUUAGACUUGGAUGAAACCACACACCAUAAGGUGUGAUACCAGCUUCCUGAGGGGCCAGAUGGUGGAGACAGAUGAUGCAACCUGGAAGUGUGGGCAAGUUAACUCACCGUGGGUGAACCUUGAAUGAAGGGAAAUUGAAAAUGAGAAGGAGAGACCAGUUUCAUUCCAGGACCUGACUGUGAACUUCACCCAAGAGGAAUGGCAGCAACUGGACCCUGCUCAGAGGCUCCUGUACAGGGAUGUGAUGCUGGAGAACUACAGUAACUUGGUCUCCGUGGGGUAUCAUGUUAGCAAACCAGAUGUGAUUUUCAAAUUGGAGCAAGGAGAAGCGCCGUGGAUAGUGGAGGAAUUCUCAAAUCAGAACUACCCAGAAGUUGAUGAUGCCUUAGAGAAGAACAAGGAAAUCCAAGAUAAACAUUUGACACAAACUGUAUUCUUCAGCAACAAAACACUGAUUACAGAAAGAGAGAAUGUAUUUGGGAAAACACUUAAUCUGGACAUGAAUAGUGUUCCCUCGAGAAAAAUGCCCUAUAAAUGUAAUCCAGGAGGAAACAGUUUGAAAACUAAUUCAGAAGUAAUUGUUGCAAAGAAAAGCAAAGAAAACAGAAAGAUUCCUGAUGAAUACAGUGGAUUUGGGACGCAUGAAAAAAGUCAUUCGGGAAUGAAAAAAUACAGAUGCAAUCCAAUGAGGAAAGCCAGCAAUCAAAACGAAAAUCUUAUUCUGCACCAGAACAUUCAGAUUUUGAAACAACCUUUUGACUAUAAUAAAUGUAGGAAAACCUUCUUCAAGAGGGCAAUUCUCGUUACACAAAAGGGGAGACAGACUGAAAGGAAACCAAAUGAAUGUAAUGAAUGUAGGAAAACCUUUUCUAAGAGAUCUACCCUCGUUGUACAUCAGAGAAUUCAUACAGGGGAGAAACCAUAUGUUUGUAAUGAUUGUAGGAAAACUUUUCGUGUGAAGACAAGCCUCACUCGACACCAAAGAAUUCAUACUGGAGAGAGACCCUAUGAAUGCAGUGAAUGCGGGAAAACCUUCAUUGACAAAUCUGCCCUCAUUGUACACCAGAAAAUUCAUGGAGGAGAGAAAUCCUAUGAGUGUAAUGAAUGUGGAAAGACCUUUUUUCGGAAGUCAGCCCUGGCUGAACACUUCAGGUCACACACAGGGGAGAAGCCUUAUGAAUGCAAGGAAUGUGGAAAUGCCUUCAGCAAGAAAUCGUAUCUUGUUGUACAUCAAAGAACUCACAGAGGAGAGAAGCCAAAUGAAUGUAAGGAAUGUGGGAAAACCUUCUUCUGUCAGUCGGCCCUUACUGCGCAUCAGAGAAUUCACACAGGGGAAAAACCCUAUGAAUGUAGUGAAUGUGAGAAAACCUUCUUUUGUCAAUCUGCCCUCAAUGUGCAUCGAAGAAGUCAUACAGGAGAGAAGCCCUAUGAAUGCAGUCAAUGUGGAAAAUUUUUAUGUACAAAAUCAGCCCUCAUUGCACAUCAGAUAACUCAUAGAGGAAAGAAGUCUUAUGAAUGUAAUGAAUGUGGGAAAUUUUUCUGCCAUAAGUCAACACUCACUAUACAUCAGAGAACACACACGGGAGAGAAACAUGAUGUGUUUAAUAAAUGUGGUAGAAUAUCCGUCAUGAAGUCAAACUGCAGUCAGUGUAAGAGAAUGAACACAAAGGAGAAUCUUUAUGAGUGUAGUGAACAUGGGCAUGCCAUCAGCAAAAACUCACACCUCGUUGUACAUCAGAGAACUAUAUGGGAGAGACCAUAUGAAUGCAAUGAAUGUGGGAGAACCUACUGUAGGAAGUCAGCCCUGACUCACCAUCAGAGAACACACACAGGAGAGAGACCCUAUGAGUGUAAUGAAUGUGGGAAAACCUUCUGUCAGAAGUUCUCCUUUGUUGAACAUCAGCGAACUCACACUGGGGAGAAACCAUAUGAAUGUAAUGAAUGUGGGAAAUCCUUCUGCCAUAAGUCAGCCUUCAGAGUCCAUAGAAGAAUUCACACAGGAGAGAAACCAUAUGAAUGUAACCAAUGUGGGAAAACCUACCGUCGCCUGUGGACUCUCACUGAACAUCAGAAAAUACACACAGGAGAGAAACCUUAUGAAUGUAACAAAUGUGAGAAAACAUUUCGCCACAAAUCAAACUUUCUUUUACAUCAGAAAUCCCACAAGGAAUAAGUUCCAACAAAGUAAUAAAUUCCAACAAAGCAACAAAUCAAAUAACUUACACAAUGCUAAACUGCCAAGCAAGUAGUGAAAGUGAACACUAAGAGAAUAAAGACAAGCUGGAACCCACAGACAAAGCUGUGGCAGUUUUUACUGUCUUCUACCUAAACAAUGUGGGUGUCCUACAGAGGCUGGUGCCAUUUGUGAUGUUGCUAAGCACAUACAUAGCCCAGGAGCUGGAAGAGCUGGAGGAGAUCCUGGGGAAA
This is an RNA transcript of Pongo pygmaeus (Bornean orangutan), 4338 nucleotides long. It is a transcript of the gene named zinc finger protein 334, with no coding region annotated. Lineage: Eukaryota; Metazoa; Chordata; Mammalia; Primates; Hominidae. The transcript has 5 exons. The record is from RefSeq and is a predicted model, not a curated record.